AUUGAACGCUGGCGGCAGGCCUAACACAUGCAAGUCGAGCGGAUGAAGUGAGCUUGCUCCUGGAUUCAGCGGCGGACGGGUGAGUAAUGCCUAGGAAUCUGCCUGGUAGUGGGGGAUAACGUCCGGAAACGGGCGCUAAUACCGCAUACGUCCUGAGGGAGAAAGUGGGGGAUCUUCGGACCUCACGCUAUCAGAUGAGCCUAGGUCGGAUUAGCUAGUUGGUGGGGUAAAGGCCUACCAAGGCGACGAUCCGUAACUGGUCUGAGAGGAUGAUCAGUCACACUGGAACUGAGACACGGUCCAGACUCCUACGGGAGGCAGCAGUGGGGAAUAUUGGACAAUGGGCGAAAGCCUGAUCCAGCCAUGCCGCGUGUGUGAAGAAGGUCUUCGGAUUGUAAAGCACUUUAAGUUGGGAGGAAGGGCAGUAAGUUAAUACCUUGCUGUUUUGACGGUACCAACAGAAUAAGCACCGGCUAACUUCGUG
Molecule: ribosomal RNA, 484 nt
Filed under: uncultured bacterium
Lineage: Bacteria
Description: partial 16S ribosomal RNA
Rfam family: Bacterial small subunit ribosomal RNA
Source: RNAcentral